Thamnophis elegans (Western terrestrial garter snake) is the source of this 561-nucleotide long non-coding RNA. RefSeq lists it as uncharacterized. The transcript is spliced from 2 exons. NCBI's taxonomy places the organism in Eukaryota, Metazoa, Chordata, Lepidosauria, Squamata, Natricidae. The record is from RefSeq and is a predicted model, not a curated record.
AGUUGGGCUUUCAACAAGAGAAUAAUUAUUGAUACUUUUGAACAGUAGAAAAUACUCCUGAGAACAGCAUGGAUAGCUAAGAAAACAAAUCAAGGAGUAUCAAAUAUAUCAACCCGUAAGGCACAAAUGGGGUUAUUCUUUGGAGUCAUUAUUCAAAGACUUACCUCUCUCGGGAAAUUCAUAAUAUUGGGAAAGGUGGCAAGAAAGAGAGGACAACCGGGAGGAUGGAUGGACUCAGUUACAAGUAGCAAUGGGUGCACCAUUUGAAGCCCUGAAGGACCAGGCUGUUGACAUGAUCCUUUUGGAGAAUAUCUAUAUGGUUACUAAGAAUCAGCAUCAACUUGAUGGCACUUUAAGUAAAUCAAAUCAAUGGGAAUGUUGAAGAUGAAACUGAAAUAAAUGAUUUCAGUACUAAUCUUUCUUGUACCAAUAAUGAAAAAGAACUCAUAAAUAUUAAAAAUUGUGAUGCUGUAAUUGAAGAUAAUGGAAUAGUUGUGAAGUUUAUUUAAUGUAUGUGUAAAAACUUUAUCCUAUACCGUGAUUUGAAAAAAGUGUUUUUUU